Molecule: ribosomal RNA, 440 nt
Filed under: uncultured bacterium
Lineage: Bacteria
Description: partial 16S ribosomal RNA
Rfam family: Bacterial small subunit ribosomal RNA
Source: RNAcentral
CCUACGGGGUGCAGCAGUGGGGAAUAUUGCACAAUGGGGGAAACCCUGAUGCAGCGACGCCGCGUGAGUGAGGAAGUAUUUCGGUAUGUAAAGCUCUAUCAGCAGGGAAGAAAAUGACGGUACCUGACUAAGAAGCCCCGGCUAACUACGUGCCAGCAGCCGCGGUAAUACGUAGGGGGCAAGCGUUAUCCGGAUUUACUGGGUGUAAAGGGAGCGUAGACGGAAUAGCAAGUCUGAUGUGAAAACCCGGGGCUCAACUCCGGGAGUGCAUUGGAAACUGUUGAUCUUGAGUGAAGUAGAGGCAGGCGGAAUUCCUAGUGUAGCGGUGAAAUGCGUAGAUAUUAGGAGGAACACCAGUGGCGAAGGCGGCCUGCUGGGCUUUUACUGACGCUGAGGCUCGAAAGUGUGGGGAGCAAACAGGAUUAGAUACCCUUGUAGUC